Molecule: ribosomal RNA, 250 nt
Filed under: uncultured bacterium
Lineage: Bacteria
Description: partial 16S ribosomal RNA
Rfam family: Bacterial small subunit ribosomal RNA
Source: RNAcentral
GACGAACCGUGCGAACGUUGUUCGGAAUCACUGGGCAUAAAGGGCGCGUAGGCGGCUUAUCAAGUCAGGGGUGAAAUCCGGCAGCUCAACUGUCGAAGUGCCUUUGAUACUGAUGAGCUCGAGGGAGGUAGGGGUCUGUGGAACUUCCGGUGGAGCGGUGAAAUGCGUUGAUAUCGGAAGGAACGCCGGUGGCGAAAGCGACAGACUGGAUCUCUUCUGACGCUGAGGCGCGAAAGCCAGGGGAGCAAAC